Molecule: ribosomal RNA, 245 nt
Filed under: uncultured bacterium
Lineage: Bacteria
Description: partial small subunit ribosomal RNA
Rfam family: Bacterial small subunit ribosomal RNA
Source: RNAcentral
AGAAUCAACGCUGGCGGCGUGCCUAACACAUGCAAGUCGAACGAGAAAGUGGAGCAAUCCAUGAGUAAAGUGGCGCACGGGUGAGUAACACGUGACUAACCUACCCUUGAGUGGGGGAUAACCUAGGGAAACCUGGGCUAAUACCGCAUAAUACCUUCGGGUCAAAGGAGCAAUUCGCUUAAGGAGGGGGUCGCGGCCGAUUAGUUAGUUGGCGGGGUAAUGGCCCACCAAGACUAUGAUCGGUA